UUGAUCUAAAUAUAUGCUUUUAUAUUUUUGUUAGAUCAAUACAAGUGUUCCGAAGUCAACGAGACGCACAGGUAUCCCGGACUAAAUCAAACAACAUUACUUGGAUCAAAGUGCAGGUACAUUAUUUUUCACAAUUUUGCUUAUAAUAUUUAUGCUACUUGAUAAAACAAGACAACUAUAAAUUCUUAUUUGUUUUCUAUGUAGUGUCCGAUACAGCGGAACAGUUCAGACUGCGGAUACUUUGUUUUGAGGUUUAUGAAAGAAAUCCUUCAAAUGAAUCAAUUAGAGAUUCCAAUCACGUACUUUGACGAAUUCCGUGCUGCUUCUUACCCGAAACUUAAGUUGGAAGAAAUCAAAGAGGAAUUGUGUCAAUUUUAUAUUCAUCAGCUAUUCAUGUAGUAGGAUUUGUGUCGAUUUGAAGAGAAUAUUAUAGUACUCCAGAAUAUAUGGUUACUAACUUUGUUCAUAUUGUUGCCAAUUAAUAUUUGAAGUAUAAUAUUGUUGA
This is a long non-coding RNA of Vicia villosa (hairy vetch), 505 nucleotides long. RefSeq lists it as uncharacterized. The transcript has 2 exons. The record is from RefSeq and is a predicted model, not a curated record. Lineage: Eukaryota; Viridiplantae; Streptophyta; Magnoliopsida; Fabales; Fabaceae.